CUUCCUAAGCUAUUCUAUGCUUUCGGAUGAUAACACUUUCUUCUCAGCUUCAUGCUUCCUCCACCAUCCAGUUCUUUCUUGGUGGUCAGUUUUAAGUCUAAAACAGUGCCCUUUAGAUGUUUCCGUUUUCCUUUGAAAAACUAAAAUUUCUGCGGGAAAGGACGUUUAUUAGCCCGUGGGAUGAAACUUCUAAAGGGGACUCAAAUAAGAGGCACAAUGUCAAGUGUUCGCCGCUUCCUGUGUGUAUUUUCAUUUCUUCACCUGUGAAAGGGGAUAAAAUUGGAUGGUUAUCAUAGGGCUGUUGUGGAGGAUGGGUAAAUAUUUGUGUAUCGGCCACAGUGUACAUUCAGUAAAUUAUCGCUGCCAUUAUUGUUAUGGCUGUUGUUAGUAAUUGUCAUGACCACUAAAUUUUAUUUUUUCCCAUUUUCUGAACUAAACUAAGAAAGCAUCUUCCAGAAUUGAGCUCAUACCUUGGACUGAGUGUAUAGCACAAUAUGACUUCUGUUUUCUUUUCAACUUAGCCCAGAUCUUUGUCAGCAUGUUUCCAUACUUGUUCUAUAUUCUAGAGUUGUAUAGAAACGUGAUAAUCAGUACUAAUUCCUUUACAGCAGCUUAUCACAUCCGUUUUCUUCCCGCAGUAUAAAUACUUUUACUAUAGGAGCGCAUCCACUUUCUCUGACUACCCCCAAGGAGACCAUGACUUGGUGAUAGGAAGUAUUCAAAGUUGCUGCUUUGAAAAGGAAAUGUGCCCAUGGUGAUAGUGGAAAUAAAACUCCAUUUAGUAGCAUGAUUAUAGUUUGACAUAGAGAAUGGUUUUCUAGGGGUAAUAAAGGCCUGAUCCCAACAUAACUCCAUUGUGCAAACUUCUAAUUUGUGCGGGUACUAAUAUAUGAGCAUUAGACUAGCUAAGCUAAAAGGUUGUUUCCAAGUUUGAAAUUCUGUUGUUCUCUUCAUCUGUCUUGAUAGCAGUCCCUCUGCUGAUGGCCACCUCUGUUUGAGUGUAUUUCCUCUAGCAGAUGUUAAUUCUGAUCAGCUUAAUUUAAUUGUAUUUUAACUACCUUCAGAAGACCAUAGUUCUUUGAGAUAUCAGAAAACAAAUUAACUUUGGCAUAAUUAAAAAUGCAAUGAGUUAUAAAAGUUAAAACAGUUUGAUUUAUUUCAGCUGGUAAUUAAAUUAGUUUGGGUGCAAUAAUAAGAAUACAAUAAUAAAAACUCAUGCAAUGUCAUUUUGGGCACAGCCUCACAAGGGUAGAGGAUGGCAGGAAACCACUCAUGUGAGGUGAGAGAAUAUACUACAGAAUAAGAAGCAAGCCCAGCGUAAGUGAUGCUGAUAGUUCCAGGUGGGAAAAACAAGGGUCCUGGAAUUCAGUUUUUUAAAAUCGCAAAUGCUCAUUGGUGUCAAAUACGGUCUUUAGGUCUCAUGGGAGUUUUAUUUUUUUAGCAUGUUUCUACUUCCCAAUAAUUUUCAGAUUACAGAAGUAAAAGAUAAUUUAAAUAGCAUUUUUUGUGUUGCAAAUAUUACAUGAACAAGCAGAGUCUUACAAUCAAAUAGUCACUGGGCUUUACUUCAAUAAUCAAUUCUCAUUUCUGUAAGUGCGUUCCAGUGCAAGCCUCUGAAUUUGUCUAGCUCUGAUGUAAGUUUGCUACAACUAAUCGCUUUUAAAUCAUGUUCAUCUUAAAAUGUUUUGGGCACUGUUAGUUGGGGGCUGGUUUACACUGACUCCUGGUUCCCCUUUUUCUAGAUUUGUGAACCUUUCCCCAUCUCAAAGCAGCAUGAAGCUUUUGUCAUUGCCAAUGCAGAAGAAAUGAGUUGAAUAUGCGUUAGUUCAUUUUCCCCCCAACUUUGGAAAAUAAAUUUGAAGGGGAAAGAAACUAGAUCUUAAAUGUUUUGGAUAAGUGUGCAUUUUGUUUGCUAGGCCAAAACUGCCAGGAGGUAGAAUUGAAUUCACCAUGAUAGUCAUAAGAAGUGUUUUGAAAAUCCCCCAUUAUCCAGUGGGACUCUCCGUCCCCUCAGCCUCCUCUCAGAUUGUCAGCAUGGAGGUGAGAGUGGGGAGAAGACAGUUCUUGCACGUGCUCGGUGAUCUGGCCGCCACCUGCUCCAGCCUUCUGUUCCCUUUUGGCUUGUGUUCUGCGAGGUCUUGUUAGCUGCCAGGGCUGCUAAUGUCUGAUGCCCUUGCAGCAUUUUUUCCUUUUCUACUAACCUGGCCUGUGGCCUCUUUUGUGGAACACUAUUACCUGGGGUAUGUAAAGCAAAAUUGUGCUAUUAGUGGCAUAUUGGAAUUAUAAUAAUUUAAAAAAAUAGAACAACUCUUAGCUUCUAUUGACUUAUAACUCCUCUAGGGUCGGAGCUGAAGGGUAAUCCGAAGGACAAAUGCCUUUUCUGUGUGACCUGGCCCAACUCGUAUGUCUGGAUUCUUGUUCUAUUGGGGAAAGCUCUUCUCCAGGAAACUCCAAGAUGCUCUAAAAAAAAAAUCUCUCUGGGUAGUUGUUUCUGUUCUCGGGAAAUAAUCUGAGUAAAGGGCAUAACAAUAUGGAACCUUAGUGCUAAUGCUUCCAUUAUCUUUUAUUACCAAAGGAAUUUAUCUACAGAUACAAAUUUUCACUCUUCUAUUAUGUAGCUCCUUUCAUUUAUUCAAUGACGUUUACUAUGUUCCAGGUAUAUUUCUAGUCAGUGUUUGUCAACUGGGAUGACUCUAUCCAGCUGCAUUUCCACUGGAAAAUCUCGACAAUUUUGCCUUCCAAAUAUGCUCCAGAUUUUCAGUACUUCCACUUCUAACAUAUAAUCCAAUGUAGCACCUCAGGUUGGUUCUACAGUAGCCCCCAGUGGACCUCUCUGCUGCUACUUUGUGCCGUUACCAUCUAUUCUUCCUACAACAGCCAGAGUAGUGAUCAAAAAAUGAGAAUCAUACCAUGACCCUUCCGUUCAACGGCCUCUCAUCACACUUAGGCUUUAUCAUCAUAAUCUGUGAUUGGGCUAUUGACUGCUGUUCCCAAAUAAACUCCCAUGACUUUCCCUCUGCUCAUUUAGCUCCUGGUAAAAUUGGACUGCUUUAUUACAUAUGUAAAUCUCUCUCUCUCUCUCUCUCUCUGCAUUAUAUGGACAAAAGUGGGAAAGUUUUCACAUCACAACCAUGUGUGGGUUGGCUGCUUACUCAUAGUUCUAACCUACAGACUUACCUUUAUCAUCAGACUUUGAAAGACCUGUUAUUCAGAAUGGAUAAUAAGUAGAUAUUUGACCUGGGAGUCCUUAGCCCUAAGUUAUAUACCAGCCUUCAUUUCUUUGGGCUUAGUAGUUGAAACAGUCAUAAGAGUUUGGAUGAAAACAUAAAUGCUUUGGAAAUGCAAGGUAAGACUUUGGAACGUGUGUGUCACUAUCCCCAUGACUGUCCCACCAGCCUGUCCCAAAGUUUGAGGGAUCUUCGAUGGUCCAUCUCUUUUAGGGCCUGAGGAUCUAUGAAUCAUCAGGUUCCCUUUUUUUAUUAUAUUUGGCCCAUCAUUUUCCAGUUCCUGUCCCCCAGAAUUAAAGAAGAAAUGAUGUUUAAGGAUGCUUUUUU
Long non-coding RNA from Phyllostomus discolor (pale spear-nosed bat), 3554 nucleotides. RefSeq lists it as uncharacterized. The record is from RefSeq and is a predicted model, not a curated record. The transcript is spliced from 2 exons. Lineage: Eukaryota; Metazoa; Chordata; Mammalia; Chiroptera; Phyllostomidae.